UAAACAAAAGUCCAGUUUUUA
RNAcentral lists this non-coding RNA (21 nucleotides) under Caenorhabditis elegans. Lineage: Eukaryota; Metazoa; Nematoda; Chromadorea; Rhabditida; Rhabditidae. The record is from RNAcentral.